Molecule: ribosomal RNA, 485 nt
Filed under: uncultured bacterium
Lineage: Bacteria
Description: partial 16S ribosomal RNA
Rfam family: Bacterial small subunit ribosomal RNA
Source: RNAcentral
ACUCAAAUGAAUUGACGGGGGCCCGCACAAGCAGCGGAGCGUGUGGUUUAAUUCGACGCAACGCGAAGAACCUUACCAGGGCUUGACAUGGCCGGAAAAGCGCGUGAAAGCGCGUGUCCCCGCAAGGGGGUCGGUCACAGGUGCUGCACGGCUGUCGUCAGCUCGUGCCGUGAGGUGUUGGGUUAAGUCCCGCAACGAGCGCAACCCCUGUCGUGAGUUGUAUGUUUCUCACGAGACUGCUGGUGGCAAGCCAGAGGAAGGCGGGGAUGACGUCAAGUCAGCGUGGCCCUUACGUCCUGGGCGACACACACGCUACAAUGGCCGGUACAGCGCGUCGCGACCUCGCGAGGGGAAGCCAAUCGCUCAAAGCCGGCCCCAGUUCAGAUUGCAGGCUGAAACCCGCCUGCAUGAAGGCGGAGUUGCUAGUAACCGCGGGUCAGCACACCGCGGUGAAUACGUUCCCGGGCCUUGUACACACCGCCCGU